GGCGCCAUCGUCUAGCCUGGUCCAGGACGCAGGGUUUUCAUCCCUGUAACACGGGUUCGAAUCCCGUUGGCGCUA
This 75-nucleotide transfer RNA is filed under the name Patescibacteria group bacterium. RNAcentral's name for it is "tRNA-Glu". It matches the Rfam family "tRNA". From Rfam's summary of the family: Transfer RNA (tRNA) molecules are approximately 80 nucleotides in length. Their secondary structure includes four short double-helical elements and three loops (D, anti-codon, and T loops). RNAcentral also lists the same sequence under 2 other names. The record is from RNAcentral.